This 550-nucleotide ribosomal RNA is filed under the name uncultured bacterium. RNAcentral describes it as "bacterial SSU rRNA". It matches the Rfam family "Bacterial small subunit ribosomal RNA", at positions 355 to 896 of the family's 1533-position model. The record is from RNAcentral.
UAGGGAAUCUUCCGCAAUGGACGAAAGUCUGACGGAGCAACGCCGCGUGAGUGAUGAAGGUUUUCGGAUCGUAAAACUCUGUUGUUAGGGAAGAACAAGUACAAGAGUAACUGCUUGUACCUUGACGGUACCUAACCAGAAAGCCACGGCUAACUACGUGCCAGCAGCCGCGGUAAUACGUAGGUGGCAAGCGUUGUCUGGAAUUAUUGGGCGUAAAGCGCGCGCAGGCUGUCCUUUAAGUCUGAUGUGAAAGCCCACGGCUCAACCGUGGAGGGUCAUUGGAAACUGGGGGACUUGAGUGCAGAAGAGAAGAGUGGAAUUCCACGUGUAGCGGUGAAAUGCGUAGAGAUGUGGAGGAACACCAGUGGCGAAGGCGACUCUUUGGUCUGUAACUGACGCUGAGGCGCGAAAGCGUGGGGAGCAAACAGGAUUAGAUACCCUGGUAGUCCACGCCGUAAAUGAUGAGUGCUAAGUGUUAGAGGGUUUCCGCCCUUUAGUGCUGCAGCAAACGCAUUAAGCACUCCGCCUGGGGAGUACGGNCGCNAGGCUG